AUGGAGGGGUCCUCGGCCGGAAUCUCCAUCAAUUUGCGUCCUUGGGCCAUAAUCUCCAUCAAAUUCCGUCGAAAUUUGCACGAAGCGUCCAAUGUCGCCACAGAGUUUGCCGGAGGAACAAGAACAUUGGUCCGUCCAGUGUCGCCUGCAGCGGCUACACCAAAGGGCCACAUGAACAAGGAUCAUGCGGACGCUACAAAACUCAUCGUGCAACACUCAACCUCUGUUAAGGAAAUGAAGUUUCUUCCUCGAUCAAGUUAUCAGUCCUUGGUUCACUCUUGCCCUUUGCGCUUGAUGAGACGGGUGAGGAGGAGGAGGAGGAGAGUGUGGGGGCAUCUGGAGAGGAGCGAGGGGUGA
RNAcentral lists this ribosomal RNA (357 nucleotides) under Triticum aestivum (bread wheat). RNAcentral describes it as "partial small subunit ribosomal RNA". The record is from RNAcentral. Lineage: Eukaryota; Viridiplantae; Streptophyta; Magnoliopsida; Poales; Poaceae.